CAGUCGCCGCGGGAAUACGUAGGUGGCAAGCGUUGUCCGGAAUUAUUGGGCGUAAAGGGCUCGCAGGCGGUUUCUUAAGUCUGAUAUGAAAGCCCCCGGCUCAACCGGGGAGGGUCAUUGGAAACUGGGAAACUUGAGUGCAGAGGAGGAGAGUGGAAUUCCACGUGUAGCGGUGAAAUGCGUAGAGAUGUGGAGGAACACCAGUGGCGAAGGCGACUCUCUGGUCUGUAACUGACGCUGAGGAGCGAAAGCGUGGGGAGCGAACAGGAUUAGAUACCCCAGUAGUCCCUGUCUCUUAUAC
Molecule: ribosomal RNA, 301 nt
Filed under: uncultured bacterium
Lineage: Bacteria
Description: partial 16S ribosomal RNA
Rfam family: Bacterial small subunit ribosomal RNA
Source: RNAcentral